RNAcentral lists this long non-coding RNA (466 nucleotides) under Nicotiana benthamiana. RNAcentral's name for it is "long non-coding RNA (NBEN_LNC024676)". Lineage: Eukaryota; Viridiplantae; Streptophyta; Magnoliopsida; Solanales; Solanaceae. The record is from RNAcentral.
UGGCAACAACUUCAGAGUCUUGCUAGUGGUAUAACUGUUCCUUGGCUGGUUACAGGGGACUUCAAUGCAGUAUUGUCUAUUAAUGAUAUGCAAUCAUGUAACCAGGUUACUCAAGCUGAAAUCCAAGAUUUCACUCAAUGUGUGCAAGUGGCUGAAUUAUCAGAAUUGCCUUGGAAAGGGGCUUUUUUCACAUGGUCUAAUAAGCAAACUGGUUCUGAUAGAGUUUGUAGUAGAUUGGAUAGAAUAUUUGGCAAUUAUGAAUGGAUGACUCAAGCUGAAAUCCAAGAUUUCACUCAAUGUGUGCAAGUGGCUGAACUAUCAUAAUUGCCUUUGAAAGGGGCUUUUUUCACAUGGUCUAAUAAGCAAACUGGUUCUGAUAGAGUUUUUAGUAGAUUGGAUAGAAUAUUUGGUAAUUAUGAAUGGAUGAUUAAGUGGAGUCAUGUACGAACUGUAUAUGAUCCCCCUU